Molecule: unclassified non-coding RNA, 1746 nt
Filed under: Eurytemora carolleeae
Lineage: Eukaryota; Metazoa; Arthropoda; Copepoda; Calanoida; Temoridae
Description: beta-1,3-galactosyltransferase 1
Source: RNAcentral
UGAUAAUGUAAAGUAACAAGAUAUUGAAGAUUAUAUUUAUUUUCAGAAAUCAUGGUUUGAUCCUUUCCCUCCUCUGCACAUUGGAAGGAACCAUGGAACAGAACCUGGAGUCGAGCCUAGUUAGUUUAGUGAACCUAGAUACACAGGUUCGGAGGAAGAGUAGAUCUAAUGUUCCGAACCCCCUGGAGUUAGGUCCAGGGAAAAGAUAUCCUAAACUACUCCUAGGAUUAUGCGUCCUAACCUUUAUAUUCAUGAUCAGCUGGAUAUCUUCUUUAUCAGUUAAACACAAGGGUCCUUUAGCCUAUGUUUGGCCAACUAAUCAAACCCGAGAUACAAGUGCAUAUAUUCAUCCUUCAACCAUAUCUACCAUUAUUCAACCUAAGAUCUGUAACAGUUCUGAUCCCACUUCAUUUCCAUAUCUUCUGAUAAUAGUGUGUAGUGGACUACAGAAUAUAGAUGCUAGAACUGCAAUUAGGGGUUCCUGGGGACUGGAGGCGAAUACGAUGAAGAACGUGAAGGUUGUGUUCCUGGUUGGACAAGGGGAGAACAGAACAUACCAGGAGGAGAUAGAACAAGAAGCUCGUCUUCAUCAGGAUAUUAUUCAGGAGGUAUUUCUUGACACCUACGCCAACCUUACUAUUAAGUCUGUGAUGUUAUUGAAGUGGUUUAACAAUACCUGUGAUAUUUCUGCAAAGUUAAGAACUGAAUAUGUUCUGAAGACAGAUGACGACAUGUACAUAAACGUCCGGAAACUGUACGAAUUAGCGCAGGCCAACCGGAAACCCAAUCUUCUAGUCGGCAGCUUAAUCUGUAAUGCAGUUCCUAUCAAGGACCCGCACAACAAGUGGUUCGUCCCAACCUAUAUGUUUAAGGAGAAGAAGUUUCCCAAUUAUCUGAGUGGAACAGGAUAUCUAAUGCAACGAGAAGUUGCGCGCAAACUUUACGCGGCAUCCUUGGAAACUCCACUUUUCCACCUAGAGGAUAUCUACCUCACGGGAAUACUUUCCAGGAGUAUAGGUGUGCGUCCUGAGGAUCAUAUAGGAUUCUCCUACUCUAAGAGAGCUCUGAAACCUUGUCUCUUCAAGCAGGUCAUCUCAUCCCACCAGGUCACACCCAACCAGUUGAUGACAAUGCAUGUGAAACUUCAGGAUAAAAGAUUGGAUAAGUGUGCUUUGCUCACGAAGAAGCAGUUAAGGAAUUACGGGCCAGUGAAAUGUGUCUGGCCGAAAUAAGGAACCUAAUUUUUUUUAUGAGUAUAUAGAAAAUAUCUAAAUAUUCUGAGCUUGGAAAAUAUCAAUGAUUGUUUCCCGGCUAAAUUUUGCAUCGUGUACUUAUACAAUCCUUAAAGAAAGUCAAAGAAGGCUCAAAACUUGUAAUUAGUAACGGUAUUGCGUCACAAAAUUGAUUCUGUAUCCUUGUCGCAAUUAUUACUGCGCCAUAUAUGUCAAUGAGUAUGAAUUGAGUAUUUUUUCCAUCUUUUCAAUUGCCAAGCGACCCCCACCCCCUUCUCUGGGAGAGAAAGUAGUUGCUACAUUAUCAAAAAUAUUUUCGUCUCAGCUCAACAAAAUCUUAUCAAUGUAUUGUGAUACUAAAUGAAAAUGAAUUCGUCAUUCUUUCAAGAGACUGACAAGAAAAAGUGACCCUUUAUUUAAUGAGUAUAUCAUUAACGAAUCACAACUGGCUUUUUAAGCCUUUGAAAAUCUGCAAAUUUACAGUUUUUAACUACGAACCUUCUUAUAUUCGAGG